This 301-nucleotide ribosomal RNA is filed under the name uncultured bacterium. RNAcentral's name for it is "partial 16S ribosomal RNA". It matches the Rfam family "Bacterial small subunit ribosomal RNA", at positions 509 to 807 of the family's 1533-position model. The record is from RNAcentral.
CAGUAGCCGCGGUAAUGCGUAGGGUGCGAGCAUUAAUCGGAAUUACUGGGCGUAAAGCGUGCGCAGGCGGUUAUAUAAGACAGAUGUGAAAUCCCCGGGCUCAACCUGGGACCUGCAUUUGUGACUGUAUAGCUAGAGUACGGUAGAGGGGGAUGGAAUUCCGCGUGUAGCAGUGAAAUGCGUAGAUAUGCGGAGGAACACCGAUGGCGAAGGCAAUCCCCUGGACCUGUACUGACGCUCAUGCACGAAAGCGUGGGGAGCAAACAGGAUUAGAUACCCGUGUAGUCCCUGUCUCUUAUAC